Molecule: long non-coding RNA, 417 nt
Organism: Lynx canadensis (Canada lynx)
Lineage: Eukaryota; Metazoa; Chordata; Mammalia; Carnivora; Felidae
Exons: 3
Source: RefSeq, a predicted model, not a curated record
GGCUUAGCUGUUCAGGAGCAGGGCGAGGGUUUUCGGUGCUACCUCACAGGGAAGGAGGGUGGUGAGGAAAGUUAGAUAAUGUGUGAAAAGUGACUGCGACCUGGUAAGACCCCGUCCAUGCCGGUUCUUUCUUCCCUCUUGACUCUGCCGUCCAAGAUGGUAGCCAUCAGCUGCGUGUGGCUCUCGAGUGUUUGAAAUAUGGUUACUUGCAAAUGUUUUGAGCCUGGGGUGAUGGAAAGCUUCUGGAUUCCAGAGUCUGCAGGAUAUGGGUUUGAAGAUCCGCUGCGUGAUCGUGGACCGGUAAAGUCGCCACUCUGAAUUUCUUCACAUGGCUCUAUGAGGACUGAAUGAGAUAUCAUGGAAACAGCACUUAGCUCAAUGUCUGACAUUCAAAAUAAACCUCACAUUUCCAAAAUA